GAUGAAGAACGUAGCGAAAUGCGAUACGUAAUGGGAAUUGCAGAAUUCAGUGAAUCAUCGAGUCUUUGAACGCACAUUGCGCCCCCUGGUAUUCCGGGGGGCAUGCCUGUCCGAGCGUCAUUGCUGCCCUCAAGCACGGCUUGUGUGUUGGGCCUCCGUCCUCCUCCCGGGGGACGGGCCCGAAAGGCAGCGGCGGCACCGCGUCCGGUCCUCGAGCGUAUGGGGCUUCGUCACCCGCUCUUGUAGGCCCGGCCGGCGCUUGCCGACACAUCAAUCUUUUUUCCAGGUUGACCUCGGAUCAGGUAGGGAUACCCGCUGAACUUAAGCAUAUCAAUAAGCGGAGGA
This 345-nucleotide unclassified non-coding RNA is filed under the name soil metagenome. RNAcentral describes it as "partial contains 5.8S ribosomal RNA, internal transcribed spacer 2, and large subunit ribosomal RNA". The stretch from base 1 to 120 matches the Rfam family "5.8S ribosomal RNA", at positions 35 to 154 of the family's 154-position model. The record is from RNAcentral.